AAAUUUUUUCUUAAUUUUCACAAAUAUAAAUUUCAAGUAAAUUUUGCAUCAUGGAUACGCAUCUGAAAAUGCCGUGCACUUUCGAAUAUUCUCAAGGAAAUGGGACUGGAGUAGCAGAAGCGCUUGGAAAUUGGGGAUUUUCAAGCCAAAUCGGCAGCCCUGGUCAAGAACUCCGACGUCUCAAAUGUUUAUUUGCCAAGAUGGACCAAUUGUAAAGAAAAUUCCAGUUGAAUUAUGACUUAAGAUCAUGGAUCAGUCGAUAUAUCGCAACCAUGAGUGCGAGAGACUGCAAUUUUUGAAAGUGAAAUUUUUCCAUACUGUUCGCCCGAUUGAAAUAAUAAUGGAUUUCGAAAAUUCCAAGUGAGGUUAGGUGACUGAUCCAUACCAAAGACUCUCGAAAUAUCAACUUAAAUCAGUCCCGAAAAAGAUUUGUUCAGUUUUCUGCUUUAUGCCUUCCCCGAUACAGUUUAGAAAAUGAAUCAUCGUAAAACAUCAUAAAAAAUCUAAAAAAAAAAUCAAGGUUAUGUAAAAAAAAAAGUGCUUUUUUUCCUCUUUUCCCCUCGAAGGCGAAGCUCGAAACCAACGAUGUGUGUCAGAUAUGACCACAGAAACGAUCCUGAGGCAUGCUGACAUCGUUACAGUUUCCGAUAUGAGUAGAAUCAGACCCGAUCUCGCUUCUCCUAUUCCCGGUCGUGGUUUUUUGAUUCAGAAGACGACGGAUAAAUGGUUCAAGAGAGGUCCUGACUGUUGUCCUCAACCUAGUUGCCUCGCUCCCCAAUGCCCAAGACCUUGCUGCUAGUUUCUGCGAGUCAUUCACGAUCAGAUUAUUUUUACCGACUUCUGAAUGUCCUUCAUCAUGAUUUAUCACUUUUUAAAAAAAUGUUGCCGUCUGUAUAAUAUUGAAUAAAUAAAAAUGACGCAAA
Venturia canescens is the source of this 923-nucleotide RNA transcript. RefSeq lists it as uncharacterized. The record is from RefSeq and is a predicted model, not a curated record. Lineage: Eukaryota; Metazoa; Arthropoda; Insecta; Hymenoptera; Ichneumonidae. The transcript is spliced from 3 exons.